Mauremys mutica (yellowpond turtle) is the source of this 1198-nucleotide long non-coding RNA. RefSeq lists it as uncharacterized. The transcript is spliced from 4 exons. NCBI's taxonomy places the organism in Eukaryota, Metazoa, Chordata, Testudines, Geoemydidae. The record is from RefSeq and is a predicted model, not a curated record.
GCCAUUUAAAUGUUAGACAAAUGCAUAAUUCUUGCUAUUAUAUAUUACAGACCUUGUUUAUUUACUGGCCGUUAUAAUCCCCUCUUGCUUAUUUCAUAUUAGCACAUUCUGUUUCUUCUUUUCACAUGCUUUUACUCUUGCUCUGGUUCUUUAAACAAUUGCAAAGGGGGAGGGAUCCCCAUGCUCAUGAAAACUCCACUUUGCAGAUGAGAGAUCUGCUGGGUCCUACUGUCUCUCUCUUUCCAGCAAUUUAAUAUCUCCCAGGCUCAGGUUUGCUUUUCUCUCUCAUGCCUGUGCAACACGGACAGCUGCGCCUAUCCUCAGCAGUCUCGACUGAAGAACAGUAAUUCACAUCCUCUUAUUAUUGCCAUGAGGAAUACACACAGGUUCUUUCUCUUUGUAGUGGUUUCUUUUUCUUUUAACGUUUUGCAGUUUAGAAGGUGUUCAAAGGGCACUCAGCUGUAGCUGCCAACUUUACUCCUUACUUCAUUCUGUGGAAAUCGAUCCAACACGUUUGUUGUCAUGUUCUCAAAGUGACCAGCUGUUGAAGGUGUAUGAAAUGCAAAAUAUCAUGGAAGGAAUUUGUCGUAGCAAAUGAGCUGUGGGAAACAACGUUGCAGCUGAAAGAGAGCAGUCAAUUGCCAGAAUAUGUAACUCAGCCCUAGGGAAGAGAAACACCAGUGGUACCGGCCCAUCACUUCCACAAGAAGAAAGGAGAGAAUUGUGGUUUGUUGCCAAAGAGGUGAUGUUAUAUGUAAUAGUUCAUUAACAGUAAUGAACAAGAAAAAACGGCUUUACUAUUGCAUGUUAUAAUGUGAGUUCCUUAAGAACAGCAGUGGAACAUCAAGGCUCUUCUGGAUGAGAACAAAUCACACUCUUUCCCUACCCAUUUGAAGCUGUCCCAGCAUGCACUGGAGUAACGGAUGAAAGGGCAGCAUGCUACCGAUUUUGAUGUAUGUUUUCAGUUUUCCAUUUUGGUGAAAUAGCAUAGGGCUUACAUUUGUUACUGUUGCUGCUGUGACUGCGUCUAAAGAGACAGACACAGGAAUGAACUGCUAACUCAGCUUUUUACCAUCUGCAUUAGAUAAUAAGGUCUUGUGAAACAUUUUGAAUGACUGUUACUCUUAUCAUAUACAUUUUUGUAGAAAUGGAUACCAUGACAUACAAAGUAAUAACUCAACAGUAAAUAAAAAUCUUU